RNAcentral lists this ribosomal RNA (118 nucleotides) under Pteropus alecto (black flying fox). The record is from RNAcentral. Lineage: Eukaryota; Metazoa; Chordata; Mammalia; Chiroptera; Pteropodidae.
GUCUACAGACAUACCACCUUGAACACACCCGAUCCCAUCUGAUCUCGGAAGCUAAGCAGGGUCGGGCCUGGUUAUACUUGUAUGGGAGACCACCUAGGAAGACCAGAUGCUAUAGGCA